This 5117-nucleotide long non-coding RNA is filed under the name Carassius auratus (goldfish). RNAcentral describes it as "lncRNA (ENSCARG00000053556.1)". Lineage: Eukaryota; Metazoa; Chordata; Actinopteri; Cypriniformes; Cyprinidae. The record is from RNAcentral.
AUGCAGUUUGUGAAAGAAGAGAGAGAAGAGAACAAGAGUGAACCAGACACCAGCACAAUAAAACACGAGGAACCAGAAACCCGGAGAAUAAAACUCGAGGAACCAGAAAUAAAACACGAGGAACCAGAAACAUGGAGAAUAAAACACGAGGAACCAGAAACCCGGAGAAUAAAACUCGAGGAACCACAAACCUGGAGAAUAAAACAUGAGGAACCAGAAACCCGGAGAAUAAAAGACGAGGAACCAGAAAUAAAACACGAGGAACCAGAAACAUGGAGAAUAAAACACGAGGAACCAGAAACCUGGAGAAUAAAACACGAGGAACCAGAAAUAAAACACGAGGAACCAGAAACAUGGAGAAUAAAACACGAGGAACCAGAAACCUGGAGAAUGAAAGACGAGGAACCAGAAAUAAAACACGAGGAACCAGAAACAUGGAGAAUAAAACACGAGGAACCAGAAACAUGGAGAAUAAAACACGAGGAACCAAAAACCUGCAGAAUAAAUCACGAGGAACAAGGAGAAUCAAAGACAAUGGAAAUGGCAGCCCUGGGAAGACCUCUGUAUAUUGGUAUGCUUUACGACUGCCAGGUGGUAUAUCUAUAUCAACUAAUUCUCAUUCAUUUGAAACUACAAGUCUACUAACUCUCAGAGUAGACUGUUAGGGUAGGUUUAGGGUUAGUAGAAUAAGUUGACAUAUACUUGCAAAGUUUCUCAUAGUCAGUAUGUUGUAUGUUGUGGACCCAUCAAAAUAAAGUGUUAGAAUUCAAUUCAAUUCAAUUCAAAGUUUAUUUGUAUAGUGCUUUUUUCAAUAUGAAUCGUUACAAAGCAACUUUACAGAAAAUAAUGUUUCUACAAUAUUUAGUAGUAGCUUAUGGUGGUGACUAUCAGUUUGUGCACGUUUGACAGGAUUUGUAGAAAAAAUGUAUACAAGACGUAGUCAGCUAGACGAUGAACAUUAUUAAUAAUAUUAAUUAAUAAUUGUUAUAUGAUGCAGUCAAACAUGUAGCAAUAAUUGUUAGUUCUGUUUGGUGAUUCAGGGUUAGCAUCAUCUGGGGUCCUCUGAGGGUCAGCAUCAUCUCUUCUCAGGUGUUCUGGGUCCAGACUGAAGCUUGUGUAAAUCCUAGCUACCCGUGGCAAAACAUAGAAACAAAAUAGAGACAUCAUUAGCAUAGCUGCUGAUUCAACAAAGUAAAAUUAGUUUAACCCAAGCUAAUGAAUAAAAAUGCACAUUUGAUCAGAUGCAACUACACUCACAAUUUAAGAGAUACAUUAUUCGAAUGCUUGGCGAAAGAGAUGCAUUUUUAAUCUAGAUUUAAACAGAGAGAGUGUGUCUGAACCCCGAACAUUAUCAGGAAGGCUAUUCCAGAGUUUGGGAGCCAAAUGUGAAAAAGCUCUACCUCCUUUAGUGGACUUUGCUAUCCUAGGAACUACCAAAAGUCCAGCGUUUUGUGACCUUAGGGAGCGUGAUGGGUUGUAGCGUGGUAGAAGGCUAGUUAGGUACGCAGGAGCUAAACCAAUUAGGGCCUUAUAGGUAAGUAAUGAUAAUUUGUAACUGAUACAGAGCUUAAUAGGUAGCCAGUGCAGAGACUGUAAAAUUGGGGUAAUAUGAUCAUAUUUUCUUGACCUGGUAAGGACUCUAGGUGCUGCAUUUUGGACUACCUGUAGCUUGUUUGUUGAAGAAGCAGGACAACCACCUAGAAGUGCAUUACAAUAGUCCAGUCUAGAGGUCAUGAAUGCAUGAACUAGCUUUUCUGCAUCAGAAACAGAUAACAUGUUUCGUAGCUUGGCAAUGUUUCUAAGAUGGAAGAAUGCAGUUUUUGUAACAUUGGAAAUAUGAUUUUCAAAAGACAAAUUGCUGUCUAAUAUGAUACCCAGAUUUCUGACUGUAGAGGAAGUAACAGUACAUCCGUCUAGUUCUGUGUAGUGUUUUUUGGUCCAAUAAUUAAUAUCUCCGUCUUAUCCGAAUUUAAUUGGAGAAAAUUAUUUGUCAUCCAAUCUUUUACAUUUUUAACACACUCUGUUAGCUUAGAUAAUUGAGAAUUGAUAAUCGUUGAGAUAUAUAGCUGAGUAUCAUCAGUGGAAGCUAAUUCCGUAUUUUCUAAUAAUAUUACCAAGGGGCAACAUGUAUAUUGAAAAUAGAAGGGGACCUAGGACGGAUCCUUGUGGCACUCCAAAUUUUACUGAUGAUAAAUGAGAUGACACCCCACUUAAGUAAACAAAAUGGUAGCGAUCGGACAGGUAGGAUCUAAACCAUCUUAGAGCCUGCCCUUGAAUACCUGUAUAGUUUUGUAAUCUAUCUAUGAGUAUGUCAUGGUCUAUGGUGUCGAACGCAGCACUAAGAUCAAGUAAGACUAGAAAUGAGAUGCAGCCUUGAUUUGACAGAAGGAGCAGGUCAUUUGUAAUUUUAACAAGUGCAGUUUCUUUGCUAUGGUGGGGCCUGAAACCUGACUGAAAUUCUUAAUACAGAUCAUUUUUAUGCAGGAAGGUGCUCAAUUGAGCAGACACAACUUUUUCAAAAUUUUUUGACAUAAAUGGAAGAUUUGAAAUAGGCCUAUAAUUUGCCAGUACACUAGGAUCUAGUUUUGGUUUCUUAAAAAGAGGCUUGAUAACCGCCAGCUUGAAUGGUUUUGGGACGUGAGCUAAAGAUAACCACGAGUUAAUGAUAUUGAGAAGCGGUUCUUCGGCUACAGGUAACAACUCUUUCAGUAAUUUAGUGGGUACAGAUCUAAUAAACAUGUUGUUGGUUUAGAUACAGUGAUAAGUUUAUUUAGCUCUUCCUGUCCUAUAGUUGUAAAGCACUGUAGUUUAUCUUUGGGUGCGAUGGAUGAAACUGAAGUGUUAGAUGAUGUAGAAUCUACAUUCGCUAUUGUAUUUCUAAUGUUAUCUAUUUUAUCAGUGAAGAAAUUCAUAAAGUCAUUACUAUUUAACGUUGGUGGAAUAUUUGAAUCAGGUGGCGUCUGGUAAUUUGUUAAUUUAGCCACUGUGCUAAAUAAAAACCUUGGAUUGUUUUGGUUAUUUUCUAUGAGUUUGUGUAUAUGCUCUGCCCUAGCAGUUUUUAGAGCCUGUCUAUUGCUGGACAUACUGUUUUUCCAUGCAAUUCUAAAAACUUCCAAGUUAGUUUUUCUCCAUUUGCGUUCAAGACUACGAGUUUCUUUCUUGAGAGAGUGAGUAUUACUGUUAUACCAUGGCAAGUUAUUAAGCAGACAGUCUAAUGACUGCUAGUUGACAUAUAGUUGCAAAGUUACUUACUGUUACUAGAAUGUUUACAGUGGACAAUCAAAAUAAAGUGUUAUACCUUUUUUUCUUUUCACCAAAUGUUUAAUCAUGACCAGUCCUUGUGAAACAAAACUAUAAUACCUGCACAUUUGCAUUUACAUUUACAACAGUACAUCACUCCCUCAUACAUAAAAUAACACUUAAAGCCAUUUUAAUUUCAGGUGUUACACUCUGGGAUAAGAAAUCAUUGAGUGAAAAAUUUGGACACUCGUCAACAGACCCAGACAAAUCUGCUGUUCAGUAGCACUGAUUCUCUCUCUAGUAAGUCCAACCUCCUGGGUGUAAGUGCUUCCCUGAAGGCCAGUUUCUUGGGGGGGCUUGUGGAUGUGGGAGGAUCUGGCAAGUUCCUGCAUGACACCAAAUCCUCAAAUCAAUAGUCCAGAGUUACAAUGUAUUACAGAGAAACCGCAAAAUAUGAAUAGCUCACUAUGUCCCAGCUGGGCCAGUUCAUCUACCCUGAGGUGUUUGACAAGAAAACUGCAACUCAUGUGGUCACGGCAGUACAGUAUGGAGCUCAGGCCCUCAUGGUGUUUGAUCGGACAUUUUCAGAAGACGAGAACAAGCAGGAGAUUGAGGGAGAACUGAAUAUCAUGUUCAAGAACAUCCCUUCAUUUUCAAUUGAUGCAGAAGCAUCUGGCAGUAUGAAAGAACAUGAAAAGAAAAAGGCUGAGAAAAUCACCUGCAUAUUUCAUGGGGAUGUCCUACUUGAGGAGAACCCCACCACAUACAUGGAAUCCAUUGAGAUAUACAAGAAGCUCCGCAUUCUGCUGAAGGAGAAUCCACAGAAUAUGGUUCCAAUAAAAGUCUGGCUCCAUCCUCUUCAUCUGUUAGAGAACAAAGCAGCUCGGCUCGAUAGAAAAAUGACCACAAGUCUGAUUUCUGACGCUGAUCAUAUAAUCAAGGAGCUUGGAGAGGCAGAGAGGACACACAAUGACCUGUGAAUUGGUCAAUGCUCUUAGUGACAUCAAAGAGAGACUGCAAUUAUUUAAUAAAUCAUUUUGCAUGUACAAGACAAUGUUCAUAGAAGCAGUCGGCAGGGUCUUGCCUGUUAUUCAAAGAGGAAUGGAAGAGGAAAAUUUCUGGAAGACAUCCUGAAGAUCCACAGGAGCUCCCCAUUCAGUGCUGAUAUGCUUAAGUCGUGGUUAAAUGAUGCAAGGUCUGAACUUCUCAUCUUGAGUUCUUACAUCAAGAUGCUACAGGGGAUCGAUAUCAAAUACUCAGUUGAUCUCACUACCACCUUAUUUGAUCCUGAAGUUGAUGCAGUGUGGGCUUGACCUUCACAUGUCUGAAGUAUAAAGACUCAUAUAUUUCAAGCCUGAAGGAGUAUAUUGAAUCUGACAAGUUUAAAGAGCUAGAAGAGAGUAAAACUUUUUCUGUUAAAUCUGUUCAAAAGUGGUUCAAUGAACACCGCUGGAGUGAUGCUGGGUUAAAGUGGUUUAAUGAACGCAGUGAGAGUGAUACUGGGUUUUCUGUGAAAUCUGUCACAAAGUGGUUCAAUGAUAACAGUGUCUCAAUGAACAUAAGAGAGAACUUGUCUCAAUUCAGGUGGUUUGCAGAGGCCAAUAAAUAUGAAAAGAGAAUCCACUUCAGUAUUUCUGCCAUCUCCAAUCCCAACAUUGCAGGCUCCUCCAUCUAUCUCUAUGAAAAAGGGAAACUGACAGAAAAACAGUUCAAGUCUGUGUCCAACCCCGCCACCCCCACCAAUAGUGAAAAAUGUAUGGGACCAAGCUGUGUACCUUAAACUGCAGAAGUCUUCAUCUAGAGACAGAGUGCAGUACAGAGUGGAAUACAAGCGGGUGAAACCACAUUCUGGAGCUGAGGAACCAUGGCCUCAUAUU